This 106-nucleotide small nuclear RNA is filed under the name Phascolarctos cinereus (koala). The record is from RNAcentral. Lineage: Eukaryota; Metazoa; Chordata; Mammalia; Diprotodontia; Phascolarctidae.
GUGCUCACUUAGGCAGCCUCAUUAUACUAAAAUCAGAAUAAUACAGAGAUUUGCAUGGUCCCUGUGCAAGGAUGACAUGCAAAUUCAUGGAUAAUUCCACAUUUUA